CCUACGGGUGGCAGCAGUGAGGAAUAUUGGUCAAUGUGCGAGAGCCUGAACCAGCCAAGUCGCGUGAGGGAGUACUGCCCUAUGGGUUGUAAACCUCUUUUGUCGGGGAGCAAAAGCUGGACGUGUCCGGCUGUGAGAGUACCCGAAGAAAAAGCAUCGGCUAACUCCGUGCCAGCAGCCGCGGUAAUACGGAGGAUGCGAGCGUUAUCCGGAUUUAGUGGGUUUAAAGGGUGCGCAGGCGGAUUUUUAAGUCAGCGGUCAAAUCGUGGGGCUCAACCCCAUCCAGCCGUUGAAACUGGGGGUCUAGAGUGUGAGAGAGGUAUGCGGAAUGCGUGGUGUAGCGGUGAAAUGCAUAGAUAUCACGCAGAACCCCGAUUGCGAAGGCAGCAUGCCGGUGCACAACUGACGCUCAGGCACGAAAGCGUGGGUAUCGAACAGGAUGAGAUACCCUGGUAGUC
RNAcentral lists this ribosomal RNA (458 nucleotides) under uncultured bacterium. Its description in RNAcentral is "partial 16S ribosomal RNA". It matches the Rfam family "Bacterial small subunit ribosomal RNA", at positions 338 to 795 of the family's 1533-position model. The record is from RNAcentral.